AGUUAUGGCAUUUAGUCUUAACGGUUAGAGCAGCAGGUGUGUUGUGUUUUGCUGCUGCCUGCCUCAGAGUCAGAAUAUCAGUCAGUCUGUAAUAGUUUAAUCUAUGUGAGACCUAUUAGCAAUUUAAGUAUCACCUACCUGUGUUGUAUAUUUAAUCUGCAACUGAAAGUAUACUAAGUAAAAGUAUACUAAGUAAAAGUUAUAUAUUAUUUCAAACUUGCAUAGUUUUUAUAGGUGAAGACAGGAGUGCCUGGCGUGCUCUGGUCCAUGGGGUCACGAAGAGUCGGACACGACUAAACAACAACAGUUUUUAUAGGAGGAGAAAAGAGAACUAAUUAAAGGGUCAAACAUCCCAGAGCUGACUUCUGCAUAUCUCUGCAAAUGGGAACUAGAGUCUAAUUCCCACAUGGUUGACUAAAAUGCCCAUGGGAAGCCUGCAAGAGCGCUCAGCAACUGGUAUUGCUAAACUCCUAAAAUACUUUCAAAGUACAAACCAUAACACCUCUUUCAGAUGCUCAUGAAUUAAGCCAAGAAAAGUAAAAAGACCACCAAACUCUCCGUGGUAGCAGAGUGGCAAGGACCCUAAUAUUUUGAGCUGAUGUCAGGAAUCAUAUCCAUAAGUUACGGCAGCAACUUUAUCGCCACAACAUCACCCUCUCCCUCUCAGUAACCUGCAUGCAGCAUUGGGAAGCUAGGUGAGCAAUGUCAGCUAGUAUUACUUCCAAGGUAAACAGUGUAAGCACAACCAGAAGCUGCACCAAAAGUUCACAUUACACUGCUUGAAGAAGGAACAUAUGUUCUCAAGUAAACUUAGUGCUGUACAAAAAGAAACGCCUUUUUUUUUUGCAAUGUAACAAGCUUUAUUAAUAGUCUUACAAUACAUUACAUAUAUAUAGUA
This is a long non-coding RNA of Podarcis raffonei (Aeolian wall lizard), 898 nucleotides long. RefSeq lists it as uncharacterized. The record is from RefSeq and is a predicted model, not a curated record. NCBI's taxonomy places the organism in Eukaryota, Metazoa, Chordata, Lepidosauria, Squamata, Lacertidae. The transcript is spliced from 3 exons.